AGGGAAGACUAAUUGCUCUGUCUACCAUUCUAGUAAUGGUGUUCUUUGUUGAGGUUGUCUCAAGGUUAGGUAUGGUGAAGAAAUGGAGGAGGGGAGAGAGA
Telopea speciosissima is the source of this 101-nucleotide long non-coding RNA. RefSeq lists it as uncharacterized. The transcript is spliced from 4 exons. The record is from RefSeq and is a predicted model, not a curated record. NCBI's taxonomy places the organism in Eukaryota, Viridiplantae, Streptophyta, Magnoliopsida, Proteales, Proteaceae.